RNAcentral lists this long non-coding RNA (319 nucleotides) under Brassica rapa (field mustard). Its description in RNAcentral is "long non-coding RNA (BRAP_LNC006027)". Lineage: Eukaryota; Viridiplantae; Streptophyta; Magnoliopsida; Brassicales; Brassicaceae. The record is from RNAcentral.
UUGACCACACAUUUACAUAGAUAGAGUAAAUGCACAAAACCAACCUCACACACCAACCUCACAAACACUACUUUGAAUUGCUGCAAUGUCAGUUUUAUAAUAAGUUCGGCUGUUUUUUGUUUCCCUUCUGACGUUUUUUUUUAAAUUUCCCCUCCGAACUUGGAAGUAACACACUUAUUUCGACUUUAAUAUUUCACCACCCAACUGCCCAAACACGAAAUUGAUUACACUUAUAAAUCGGAAAUAUUUCAAGAUAGAAAAAAGUUAUAGAUUGACUUACGUAAGUGUUGUCCGAUAAGUACUACAGUAUAUCGUUUUC